Molecule: transfer RNA, 73 nt
Filed under: Camelus bactrianus (Bactrian camel)
Lineage: Eukaryota; Metazoa; Chordata; Mammalia; Artiodactyla; Camelidae
Also listed under: 2 other names
Rfam family: tRNA
About the family: Transfer RNA (tRNA) molecules are approximately 80 nucleotides in length. Their secondary structure includes four short double-helical elements and three loops (D, anti-codon, and T loops).
Source: Rfam by way of RNAcentral
GAGGGUAUAGCUCAAGUGGCAGAGUGCAUGCUUAGCAUGCGUGAGGUCCUGGGUUCAACACCUAGUACCUCCU